UACGUAGGGGGCGAGCGUUAUCCGGAUUUACUGGGUGUAAAGGGAGCGUAGACGGUUAAGCAAGUCUGAAGUGAAAGCCCGCGGCUCAACCGCGGAACGGCUUUGGAAACUGCGUGGCUGGAGUACUGGAGAGGUAAGCGGAAUUCCUGGUGUAGCGGUGAAAUGCGUAGAUAUUAGGAGGAACACCAGUGGCGAAGGCGGCUUACUGGACUGUAACUGACGCUGAGGUUCGAAAGCGUGGGGAGCAA
This 248-nucleotide ribosomal RNA is filed under the name uncultured Lachnospiraceae bacterium. RNAcentral's name for it is "partial 16S ribosomal RNA". It matches the Rfam family "Bacterial small subunit ribosomal RNA", at positions 524 to 771 of the family's 1533-position model. Lineage: Bacteria; Bacillati; Bacillota; Clostridia; Lachnospirales; Lachnospiraceae. The record is from RNAcentral.